This is a long non-coding RNA of Polyodon spathula (Mississippi paddlefish), 451 nucleotides long. RefSeq lists it as uncharacterized. The transcript is spliced from 3 exons. The record is from RefSeq and is a predicted model, not a curated record. Lineage: Eukaryota; Metazoa; Chordata; Actinopteri; Acipenseriformes; Polyodontidae.
GUUUCUCUCUCUCUCUCUCUCUCUGUGUGCGCGGAGCUCCGCUGCAGCCCGAAUACACCAGGGCCACUCCCUGAUCUCGCCUCUUAAUACAAGAGCCCAGCCCAGUCUCUCAACGCUGCCAUUAACCACCGCACAGCGACAGCGGCACAGACCCGCACAGAGAAAGAGAGAGAGGGGGGACAGGACAGGACAAAACACGAGCAGUGAGCGGCUACCAAGACAAGCACACGCGGGGGCUUUCCGGAAAAAAAGCACCGGGAGAAGGUUAAGCAGACACGGCAUUCUGGAAAGCAUGAGAGAGAUUCCCGACGCGUUAAUUCGGGAGAGCUGAGCUGGGAGCUGGGAGACACGCACAGGUUGGACGACAGAAAGACGUUCAGAAAGCAAAGUGACCUUGAAGAGAGAUCGAGCAGCAGUGCUAGGAUUGGACUCGUGGAAAUAAUCUUUGUGU